This 418-nucleotide long non-coding RNA is filed under the name Androctonus crassicauda. Lineage: Eukaryota; Metazoa; Arthropoda; Arachnida; Scorpiones; Buthidae. The record is from RNAcentral.
AAUAGAAUCGCAUACACGAGCACCAGGUAGAUCGAAGAAAAUUCAAAGAGGAAAACAAAAAAAAAACACUAAAACGAUCCUUCUAGAAAGCGUUUCCAAAGGCCCUCUGAAAAUUUAGAAGAAACUCGAGUAAGACCGAAUGAGGAAAAGAAUGCUAGAUUAAAAACGAUGCGCUCGGCUGCCAUGAAGAAACGAUCCGAAGAAUCUGAGGGUGAAAGGGUCGCCAGAUUACAAAGAAUGACCUCUAUCACCGUAAUUAAGAGAACGGACAAAUUUCAGGAAGAAAGAGGAAGGCAAAUAUACUCUCAAAAGCAGCAUUUAUGCGCUCAAAAGCACCAUUUAUGCGCGCAAAACCAGCAGGUAUGCGGCUACGUUAAUGGAGUUGUAAGCAAAAUUCUGCAUUUACCAAUAAUCCAUC